GAUUACUAACAACUCCGACUUCAUGUAUGCGAGUUGCAGCCUACAAUCCGAACUGGGAUCGGCUUUUUGGGUUUCGCUCACUAUCACUAGUUGGCUGCCCGUUGUACCGACCAUUGUAGCACGUGUGUAGCCCAGGACAUAAAGGGCAUGAUGAUUUGACGUCAUCCCCACCUUCCUCCGGUUUGUCACCGGCAGUCUUCUUAGAGUCCUCAGCAUCACCUGUUAGUAACUAAGAACGAGGGUUGCGCUCGUUGCGGGACUUAACCCAACAUCUCACGACACGAGCUGACGACAACCAUGCACCACCUGUAUAGGGGCAUCCGAAGAUGCUACUCUAUCUCUAGAGUAUCCCCCUAUAUGUCAAGCCCUGGUAAGGUUCUUCGCGUUGCUUCGAAUUAAACCACAUGCUCCGCUGCUUGUGCGGGUCCCCGUCAAUUCCUUUGAGUUUCAUGCUUGCGCACGUACUCCCCAGGCGGAGUGCUUAAUGUGUUAACUGCGGCACCGAGGUUUGACCCCCAACACCUAGCACUCAUCGUUUACGGCGUGGACUACCAGGGUAUCUAAUCCUGUUUGCUCCCCCGCUUUCGUACCUCAGCGUCAGUACAUGUCCAGAAAGUCGCCUUCGCCACCGGUAUUCCUCCUAAUAUCUACGCAUUUCACCGCCUACACUAGGAAUUCCACUUUCCUCUCCAUGACUCAGUGGACCAGUUUUCCAUGCCUUGAAUGGGGUGGAGCCCAUCGAUUUCACAUCAGACUUAAAAACCGCCCU
This 769-nucleotide ribosomal RNA is filed under the name uncultured bacterium. Its description in RNAcentral is "partial 16S ribosomal RNA". The record is from RNAcentral.